CCGGGAGAGGUUCGCGAACUCCCUCUAUAAAAAACUACAAGGCG
RNAcentral lists this non-coding RNA (44 nucleotides) under Paenibacillus sp. P22. RNAcentral describes it as "PreQ1 riboswitch". It matches the Rfam family "PreQ1 (pre queuosine) riboswitch aptamer". Rfam says of the family: This family is a bacterial riboswitch that binds to the metabolite preQ1, an intermediate in the biosynthesis of the modified nucleoside queuosine from GTP. One example of this riboswitch is located in the leader of the Bacillus subtilis ykvJKLM (queCDEF) operon which encodes four genes necessary for queuosine production. PreQ1 binding to the riboswitch aptamer is thought to induce premature transcription termination within the leader to down-regulate expression of these genes. The record is from RNAcentral. RNAcentral also lists the same sequence under 1 other name. Lineage: Bacteria; Bacillati; Bacillota; Bacilli; Caryophanales; Paenibacillaceae.